Molecule: long non-coding RNA, 226 nt
Filed under: Panax ginseng (ginseng)
Lineage: Eukaryota; Viridiplantae; Streptophyta; Magnoliopsida; Apiales; Araliaceae
Description: long non-coding RNA (PGIN_LNC013272)
Source: RNAcentral
AAAGCUUUAAUGUUCUUAAGUGGAGAGGUGUUGGAGAAGCUGGUGCAAUGUUCUCUUUGGAAACAAUUUCGACCUCCAUUUUGUUCAUAUCUUCGGUAGCUUCUUUCCCAGUGGACUCAGAAAGCAUGCCACUGCAUGAUGAGGCAGAUUAAUUAGUAAACCAAAGUUACUACAGAUUGCUGCACAACAUAUUCAUAUUUUUGCAUACUAUUGUAGACAAAACUCA